Molecule: ribosomal RNA, 200 nt
Filed under: uncultured bacterium
Lineage: Bacteria
Description: partial 16S ribosomal RNA
Rfam family: Bacterial small subunit ribosomal RNA
Source: RNAcentral
AGAGUUUGAUCCUGGCUCAGGACGAACGCUGGCGGCGUGCUUAACACAUGCAAGUCACGGGGGCUCGCAAGAGCAACCGGCGAACGGGUGCGUAACACGUGAGCAACCUACCUCGAUGUGGGGGAUAGCCGGCCCAACGGCCGGGUAAUACCGCAUACGAUCGUGACGGGGAGUCCCGUUACGAGGAAACCUCCGGGGCA